Long non-coding RNA from Rhopalosiphum padi (bird cherry-oat aphid), 837 nucleotides. RefSeq lists it as uncharacterized. The transcript has 5 exons. NCBI's taxonomy places the organism in Eukaryota, Metazoa, Arthropoda, Insecta, Hemiptera, Aphididae. The record is from RefSeq and is a predicted model, not a curated record.
GUCUAUAUUUCAUAUCAUUUUGCAGUUUUACAUUCGUAUUUGUAUUUGAGUUUCAACUGUAAAUUGUUUUCAAGAAUUUUGUAAUAAAAAUGAAGUUUGUCUGUUAGUUUAUGUUUUGAUUGUUUCCAUUUCAAAAUUAUUCAGUGUUGUCCACGUACAAGUUGUUAUAUAAAAAUUGUUGUCCUCCUUACGAUGGCAGUACAGCAGAUCAUUCGAUACAUGCUGAGACAAGAAUUCACAUUUCUACCACUAUGCUAAAUAUCAAUAUGCUACGUUGAAAAUUGUACUAGACGGUACUGCUAAUAAUAAUGGUUUUGUGCAACGUGCGUGUAAUGGAUGGCAGUACAGCAGAUCAUUCAAUACACGCUGAGACAUGAAUUCACAUUUCUACCACUAUGCUAAAUAUCAAUAUGCUACGUUGCAAAUUGUACUGACAUUGUAUUGACAUUCAAAUAUUACAUUUAAGAUGAUACUUCAUACACACAAUAAAACAUGAUUUUACAUGAUGGCAGUACAGCAGAUCACUCGAGGCAUGCUGAGACAUGAAUUAACAUUUCUAUCACUUUGGAAAGUUACAACAUCUUCCGUUGAAAAUUGGAAUAGAAGAUGGCAGUAUAUCAGAUCAAUCGAGGCACGCUGAGACACGAAUUCACAUUUCUACCACCAAGGAAAGUAUCAACAUACUAUGUUGAAAAUGGACUAGAAGAUACUGAUAAUAAUAUUGGAUUUAUGCAAUGUGCGUGCAAUGGUUAUUGAAUAUAAUUGAUACUAAAUUAAUAGCUGUGAAACAAUUGAGAUUUGUUAAAUAUCUGAAUAAAAUAAUAGUAAACAACUUUA